GCUGUUAUAGCUCAGUGGUAGAGCACUUCCUUGGUAAGGAAGAGGUCCCGAGUUCAACUCUCGGUAACAGCU
RNAcentral lists this transfer RNA (72 nucleotides) under Prevotella sp. RNAcentral's name for it is "tRNA-Thr". It matches the Rfam family "tRNA". Rfam says of the family: Transfer RNA (tRNA) molecules are approximately 80 nucleotides in length. Their secondary structure includes four short double-helical elements and three loops (D, anti-codon, and T loops). Further hydrogen bonds mediate the characteristic L-shaped molecular structure. tRNAs have two regions of fundamental functional importance: the anti-codon, which is responsible for specific mRNA codon recognition, and the 3' end, to which the tRNAs corresponding amino acid is attached (by aminoacyl-tRNA synthetases). tRNAs cope with the degeneracy of the genetic code in two manners: having more than one tRNA (with a specific anti-codon) for a particular amino acid; and 'wobble' base-pairing, i.e. permitting non-standard base-pairing at the 3rd anti-codon position. Lineage: Bacteria; Pseudomonadati; Bacteroidota; Bacteroidia; Bacteroidales; Prevotellaceae. The record is from RNAcentral. RNAcentral also lists the same sequence under 6 other names.